This 705-nucleotide ribosomal RNA is filed under the name Escherichia coli. Its description in RNAcentral is "partial 23S ribosomal RNA". It matches the Rfam family "Bacterial large subunit ribosomal RNA", at positions 165 to 911 of the family's 2925-position model. Lineage: Bacteria; Pseudomonadati; Pseudomonadota; Gammaproteobacteria; Enterobacterales; Enterobacteriaceae. The record is from RNAcentral.
CAUAGGUUAAUGAGGCGAACCGGGGGAACUGAAACAUCUAAGUACCCCGAGGAAAAGAAAUCAACCGAGAUUCCCCCAGUAGCGGCGAGCGAACGGGGAGGAGCCCAGAGCCUGAAUCAGUGUGUGUGUUAGUGGAAGCGUCUGGAAAGGCGCGCGAUACAGGGUGACAGCCCCGUACACAAAAAUGCACAUACUGUGAGCUCGAUGAGUAGGGCGGGACACGUGGUAUCCUGUCUGAAUAUGGGGGGACCAUCCUCCAAGGCUAAAUACUCCUGACUGACCGAUAGUGAACCAGUACCGUGAGGGAAAGGCGAAAAGAACCCCGGCGAGGGGAGUGAAAAAGAACCUGAAACCGUGUACGUACAAGCAGUGGGAGCACGCUUCGGCGUGUGACUGCGUACCUUUUGUAUAAUGGGUCAGCGACUUAUAUUCUGUAGCAAGGUUAACCGAAUAGGGGAGCCGAAGGGAAACCGAGUCUUAACUGGGCGUUAAGUUGCAGGGUAUAGACCCGAAACCCGGUGAUCUAGCCAUGGGCAGGUUGAAGGUUGGGUAACACUAACUGGAGGACCGAACCGACUAAUGUUGAAAAAUUAGCGGAUGACUUGUGGCUGGGGGUGAAAGGCCAAUCAAACCGGGAGAUAGCUGGUUCUCCCCGAAAGCUAUUUAGGUAGCGCCUCGUGAAUUCAUCUCCGGGGGUAGAGCACU